AGUGAACGCUGGCGGUGGGCCUAACACAUGCAAGUCGAACGGCAGCACAGUAAGAGCUUGCUCUUACGGGUGGCGAGUGGCGGACGGGUGAGGAAUACAUCGGAAUCUACUUUUUCGUGGGGGAUAACGUAGGGAAACUUACGCUAAUACCGCAUACGACCUACGGGUGAAAGCAGGGGAUCUUCGGACCUUGCGCGAUUGAAUGAGCCGAUGUCGGAUUAGCUAGUUGGCGGGGUAAAGGCCCACCAAGGCGACGAUCCGUAGCUGGUCUGAGAGGAUGAUCAGCCACACUGGAACUGAGACACGGUCCAGACUCCUACGGGAGGCAGCAGUGGGGAAUAUUGGACAAUGGGCGCAAGCCUGAUCCAGCCAUACCGCGUGGGUGAAGAAGGCCUUCGGGUUGUAAAGCCCUUUUGUUGGGAAAGAAAAGCAGCAGGUUAAUACCCCGCUGUUCUGACGGUACCCAAAGAAUAAGCACCGGCCAACUUCGUG
Molecule: ribosomal RNA, 492 nt
Filed under: uncultured bacterium
Lineage: Bacteria
Description: partial 16S ribosomal RNA
Rfam family: Bacterial small subunit ribosomal RNA
Source: RNAcentral